Molecule: non-coding RNA, 480 nt
Organism: Saimiri boliviensis boliviensis (Bolivian squirrel monkey)
Lineage: Eukaryota; Metazoa; Chordata; Mammalia; Primates; Cebidae
Source: RefSeq, a predicted model, not a curated record
UUUUCUGCUCUUGUGAUGGUGGUGAUGUGAAUCUUCACAGAUAUUUUAAUUGUCUAAAAUGGCAUUUUCUUAAGAGUUAUCUACAGUUCAAAGCUCACUUUUAUGAGGUGUCACAUCCAUCACCAUUUUAAGAGACAUAAAAUCAUGAAAAGAUAUCACCAGAAGCUAUGUAAACAUUUCAGCUAAAGGUAAAGAGAAAGUUAAGUGUGUUUUCACAAGGAAACUGAAAGAGGACAAUCCAAAUGAAGUCAACACGGUCACACAAAAAUCUUGGUACAAGAACUAGAAUGGAAGCCCAAGCUGCUGAGCAAGUGGGAGAAGAAAAGAAAACAUUGUUCAAACAGAUCACACAAGGGAACCCUGGACAAAUGCUAACUUUGGCUUUAUCUAGGUAACCCCUAUUUUUUUGUCAUAGGUAACUCUAAUAAUAGACCUAUUGUUGCAAAACCAGUCCAAAUCCUACCUUAAAAAGAAGUCCCU